GAUGAACGCUAGCGACAGGCCUAACACAUGCAAGUCGAGGGGCAGCACAUGAGUAGCAAUACGAUGGUGGCGACCGGCGCACGGGUGAGUAACACGUAUGCAACCUACCUUCUACCGGGGGAUAACCCGUUGAAAGACGGACUAAUACCCUAUAAUACAGGGGCUCCGCAUGGAGAUAUUUGUUAAAGAUUCAUCAGUAGAAGAUGGGCAUGCGCAUGAUUAGCUAGUUGGCGGGGUAACGGCCCACCAAGGCAUCGAUCAUUAGGGGUUCUGAGAGGAAGGUCCCCCACACUGGUACUGAGACACGGACCAGACUCCUACGGGAGGCAGCAGUGAGGAAUAUUGGUCAAUGGGCGAGAGCCUGAACCAGCCAAGUCGCGUGAAGGAAGACUGUCCUAUGGAUUGUAAACUUCUUUUGUACGGGAAUAAAGUGGGCUACGUGUAGCCUUUUGUAUGUACCGUACGAAUAAGGAUCGGCUAACUCCGUGCCAGCAGCCG
Molecule: ribosomal RNA, 498 nt
Filed under: uncultured bacterium
Lineage: Bacteria
Description: bacterial SSU rRNA
Rfam family: Bacterial small subunit ribosomal RNA
Source: RNAcentral